RNAcentral lists this ribosomal RNA (541 nucleotides) under uncultured bacterium. RNAcentral describes it as "bacterial SSU rRNA". It matches the Rfam family "Bacterial small subunit ribosomal RNA", at positions 46 to 573 of the family's 1533-position model. The record is from RNAcentral.
GCCUAACACAUGCAAGUCGAGCGGAUGACGGGAGCUUGCUCCUUGAUUCAGCGGCGGACGGGUGAGUAAUAGCCUAGGAAUCUGCCUGGUAGUGGGGGACAACGUUCGAAAGGAACGCUAAUACCGCAUACGUCCUACGUGGAGAAAGCAGGGGACCCUCGUGGCCUUGCGCUAUCAGAUGAGCCUAGGUCNGGAUUAGCUAGUUGGUGAUGGUAAUGGCUCACCAAGGCGACGAUCCGUAACUGGUCUGAGAGGAUGAUCAGUCACACUGGAACUGAGACACGGUCCAGACUCCUACGGGAGGCAGCAGUGGGGAAUAUUGGACAAUGGGCGAAAGCCUGAUCCAGCCAUGCCGCGUGUGUAGAAGAAGGUCUUCGGAUUGUAAAGCACUUUAAGUUGGGAGGAAGGGCAGUAAGUUAAUACCUUGCUGUUUUGACGUUACCAGACAGAAUAAGCACCUGGCUAACUCUGUGCCAGCAGCCGCGGUAAUACAGAGGGUGCAAGCGUUAAUCGAGAAUUAACUGGGCGUAAAGCGCGCGUA